RNAcentral lists this ribosomal RNA (482 nucleotides) under uncultured bacterium. RNAcentral describes it as "partial 16S ribosomal RNA". It matches the Rfam family "Bacterial small subunit ribosomal RNA", at positions 30 to 507 of the family's 1533-position model. The record is from RNAcentral.
AUCGAACGCUGGCGGCAUGCUUUACACAUGCAAGUCGAACGGUAACAGGCCGCAAGGUGCUGACGAGUGGCGAACGGGUGAGUAAUGCAUCGGAACGUGCCCAGUCGUGGGGGAUAACUACUCGAAAGAGUAGCUAAUACCGCAUACGAUCUAUGGAUGAAAGCGGGGGACCGUAAGGCCUCGCGCGAUUGGAGCGGCCGAUGUCAGAUUAGGUAGUUGGUGGGGUAAAGGCUCACCAAGCCAACGAUCUGUAGCUGGUCUGAGAGGACGACCAGCCACACUGGGACUGAGACACGGCCCAGACUCCUACGGGAGGCAGCAGUGGGGAAUUUUGGACAAUGGGCGCAAGCCUGAUCCAGCAAUGCCGCGUGCAGGAAGAAGGCCUUCGGGUUGUAAACUGCUUUUGUACGGAACGAAACGGCUCUGGUUAAUACCCGGGGCUAAUGACGGUACCGUAAGAAUAAGCACCGGCUAACUACGUG